Molecule: transfer RNA, 92 nt
Filed under: Chlorobiota bacterium
Lineage: Bacteria; Pseudomonadati; Chlorobiota
Description: tRNA-Ser
Rfam family: tRNA
About the family: Transfer RNA (tRNA) molecules are approximately 80 nucleotides in length. Their secondary structure includes four short double-helical elements and three loops (D, anti-codon, and T loops).
Source: RNAcentral
GGAGGGAUGGCCGAGAGGCUGAAGGCACCGGUUUGCUAAACCGACGUAGUGUUUUUAAACGCUACCGAGGGUUCGAAUCCCUCUCCCUCCGC